Non-coding RNA from Aptenodytes forsteri (emperor penguin), 67 nucleotides. The record is from Rfam. Lineage: Eukaryota; Metazoa; Chordata; Aves; Sphenisciformes; Spheniscidae.
CCGGACGUGAUGACAGAUUCAGCGCUGACGCUGGUGAUGGCCGUUGUGUUCGUACUGUCUGAUCCGU